RNAcentral lists this ribosomal RNA (1308 nucleotides) under Triticum aestivum (bread wheat). RNAcentral describes it as "partial small subunit ribosomal RNA". The record is from RNAcentral. Lineage: Eukaryota; Viridiplantae; Streptophyta; Magnoliopsida; Poales; Poaceae.
AUGAAGUCUGACAUCACCCAGUUGGUCUCUGCAUGUGAUGUGUGCAAGCAAGCUAAGCCGGAACACAUCAGAACGCCCGGGUUGCUUGAGCCGCUAGCAAUACCACCACAUCCCUGGCACACGGUGACUAUGGACUUUAUAGAUGGGUUGCCGGCAUCUAGGGGAUACACUUGCAUCAUGGUGGUAGUUGACAAACUUACCAGGUAUGCUCACUUUGUUCCGCUGAUGCAUCCCUUCACAGCUAUUCAGGUCGCGUCAGCGUACAUGGCAAAUGUGUACAAGCAUCAUGGGUUACCAUAUGCCUUGGUCUCGGAUCGUGACAAGAUCUUUACAAGCACCCUCUGGCGAGAAUUGUUUCGGCUGGCAGGAACUGAACUCCGCAUGUCAUCUGCUUAUCACCCCCAGACGGAUGGUACCACGGAACGCGUGAAUCAGUGUCUGGAGUCUUAUCUCCGCUGUUUUGUUCAUGCUUGUCCACAUCGCUGGUAUCAAUGGCUUCAUUUGGCUGAAUUCUGGUAUAAUACUGCUUAUCACUCUGCACUUGGAGCAUCACCCUUUGAAACCUUGUAUGGGCACCCUCCUCGGCACUUUGGCAUUAUGGAAGCAACAGUUGCAGUUUCUUCAGAUUUGCACAGCUGGGUGCACGAGAGAUCACUCAUGUUAGCUCUGCUCAAACAACAUCUGGAGCGCGCCCGUCAACAUAUGAAGGCUCAAGCUGAUAAGCAUCGAUCAGAGAGAUCCUUUGUGGUGGGCGAUUGGGUGUUUGUCAAACUGCAGCCAUAUGUCCAGGUCUCCGUGGCGCAACGGGCCAGUCACAAGCUUGCUUUUCGUUACUUUGGUCCUUUUCAGGUCGAGGCUCGGGUGGGCACAGUGGCUUAUCGUCUGCUGCUGCCGGCAACGAGCAAGGUGCAUCCGGUUUUCCACGUGUCCCUUCUGCGUGGCGCUCUGCCUCCCUCCACUGAAGUGGCGCCGGAGCUGCCAACCCCACCAUCGGUGCACGCGAUGCCCUUCAUACCGGAGCAGGUCUUGGUGCGUCGGAUCAUCACCAGGGGCACGGCCAAAAUUCCGCAAGUUCUGAUCAAGUGGGCUGAUCAGCCUCGUUCCUUGGCAACGUGGGAAGACUACUUUGAGCUUCGGAGCCGAUUUCCUGGAGCAGCGGCUUGGGGGCAAGCCGCGUCUGAAGGGGGGGACAAUGUCACGUCCUCGGCUACUACCCAAGGCCCACCAGAGGAGCAAGACGGCCUGGCACGGCCCAAAAGGAAGAAGAGGCCCAACCGGCUUUUCGAUCCAGAGACCUGGGAAAUGUAG